UGGCGGCAUGCUUUACACAUGCAAGUCGAACGGUAACAGGGAGCUUGCUCCGCUGACGAGUGGCGAACGGGUGAGUAAUGCAUCGGAACGUGCCGUGUAGUGGGGGAUAACGUAGCGAAAGUUACGCUAAUACCGCAUACGCCCUGAGGGGGAAAUGGGGGACCGCAAGGCCUCACGCUAUACGAGCGGCCGAUGUCGGAUUAGCUAGUUGGUAGGGUAAAGGCCUACCAAGGCGACGAUCCGUAGCGGGUCUGAGAGGAUGAUCCGCCACACUGGGACUGAGACACGGCCCAGACUCCUACGGGAGGCAGCAGUGGGGAAUUUUGGACAAUGGGCGCAAGCCUGAUCCAGCCAUGCCGCGUGAGUGAAGAAGGCCUUCGGGUUGUAAAGCUCUUUCAGACGGAAAGAAAUCGGUGAGGUUAAUACCUUCACUGGAUGACGGUACCGUAAGAAGAAGCACCGGCUAACUACGUGCCAGCAGCCGCGGUAAUACGUAGGGUGCGAGCGUUAAUCGGAAUUACUGGGCGUAA
Molecule: ribosomal RNA, 530 nt
Filed under: uncultured bacterium
Lineage: Bacteria
Description: bacterial SSU rRNA
Rfam family: Bacterial small subunit ribosomal RNA
Source: RNAcentral